AGCCCCUUUCUUUCUCAUUUGGCAAACCCUAAAUCCCUUACUUCAACCACCGAUUUACCUCCACAAACAACAACCUGUGCAUUCAAGUUUGAAAGGAUAGUUUUUCAGCCUUGAGAUCCCCUUUCGGUUUCGAUUUCAACAAAGCAAAAGGAAUCUAUUGGCAUAUUCGCAAGGGGGUGCUGUACGGAGGAAGAGGCCCUGGUGACGUGGAGGUCGUGCGUGGGAAACCACUCGUGGGAGCCUGAUCCCCUGGCUGGCUGCGACGCUAGCAUGUUCCAAAAACCUUUGGGGUUUCUGGUACUUUCAAACUGUUGGGCCCCUUUUGGCCAUUUGGGAUUGUUUUAGCAGUGGGCUGUUGUAAACUGGGUUAAGGAUUAAGUUGGAGGGCUUUGGGUGUAAUGGGAUUUUGGGUUAGGGUCUAGGCCAAUAAUUUUAGGCUUUAUUUUGGGGUUUCAAUUGGGUCUCGAUUAAUGUUUUGUAUUUUCGGACUGUGAACAUUUUAUUGUUUUUGGUUUUUUUUUGUUUUAUUUUAACUUUGGUUCUGGUAUAA
Gossypium arboreum is the source of this 550-nucleotide long non-coding RNA. RefSeq lists it as uncharacterized. The transcript has 2 exons. The record is from RefSeq and is a predicted model, not a curated record. NCBI's taxonomy places the organism in Eukaryota, Viridiplantae, Streptophyta, Magnoliopsida, Malvales, Malvaceae.